UACGGAGGGUGCAAGCGUUAUCCGGAUUCACUGGGUUUAAAGGGUGCGUAGGUGGGUUGGUAAGUCAGUGGUGAAAUCUCCGUGCUUAACAUGGAAACUGCCAUUGAUACUACUGAUCUUGAAUUUUCAGGAGGUAAGCGGAAUAUGUCAUGUAGCGGUGAAAUGCUUAGAUAUGACAUAGAACACCAAUUGCGAAGGCAGCUUACUACAGGAAUAUUGACACUGAUGCACGAAAGCGUGGGGAUCAAACAGG
Molecule: ribosomal RNA, 253 nt
Filed under: Segetibacter aerophilus
Lineage: Bacteria; Pseudomonadati; Bacteroidota; Chitinophagia; Chitinophagales; Chitinophagaceae
Also listed under: 1 other name
Description: partial 16S ribosomal RNA
Rfam family: Bacterial small subunit ribosomal RNA
Source: RNAcentral